UCUAUGCACAAGCCGAUUAAUGGUGAAGCCGCGAAUGGCUCAUUACAACAGCCACUGUUUACUUGAUCUUGACUAUCCUACUUGGAUAACUGUGGUAAUUCUAGAGCUAAUACACGCAAUAAAGCUCCGACCUUACGGGACGAGCGCAUUUAUUAGACCAAAACCAAUCGGGCUUCGGCCUGAGCCGUUGGUGACUCUGAAUAACUGAGCUGAUCGCAUGGUCUUUGUACCGGCGACGCAUCUUUCAAGUGUCUGCCUUAUCAACUUUCGAUGGUAGUUUAUGUGCCUACCAUGGUUGUUACGGGUAACGGAGAAUAAGGGUUCGACUCCGGAGAGGGAGCCUGAGAAACGGCUACCACAUCCAAGGAAGGCAGCAGGCGCGCAAAUUACCCACUCUCGGCACGAGGAGGUAGUGACGAAAAAUAACGAGGCGGUUCUCUAUGAGGCCCGCUAUCGGAAUGGGUACAAUUUAAACCCUUUAACGAGGACCUAUGAGAGGGCAAGUCUGGUGCCAG
This 515-nucleotide ribosomal RNA is filed under the name Nematoda environmental sample. RNAcentral's name for it is "SSU rRNA". It matches the Rfam family "Eukaryotic small subunit ribosomal RNA", at positions 58 to 570 of the family's 1831-position model. Lineage: Eukaryota; Metazoa; Nematoda. The record is from RNAcentral.